This 6862-nucleotide long non-coding RNA is filed under the name Solanum tuberosum (potato). RNAcentral describes it as "long non-coding RNA (STUB_LNC009790)". Lineage: Eukaryota; Viridiplantae; Streptophyta; Magnoliopsida; Solanales; Solanaceae. The record is from RNAcentral.
UAAACUCAACAUAACCCCAUAAUUGGUUGUCACAUGUACAAACCUCUAAUACGGAAUCUGAAUAAAAUAUACAAGUCUCAUAGUAAAGUUCUAGAAUAGAACAGAACAAUAAAUAUAGAUAACUUGAGGGCACGUCUGGAAUGAACCGCUACCUCUCAAGUAAGUCUGGAAGCUCUAAUCUGAAGAUGAGUAAUAAGCCGGAUCUGAUAGAGCUGUCAACCUACACAACUGUGUAGAAGCAAGGGUGAGUACCAAAAGCAACAAGUACUCGCAAGUAACACUAAACUAAGCUAAACUAGCAGCUACAAACAACUCCUUUCAAUCCCAACCGAACCACCGAAACUUCAUUCUAACAGCGAACCAACAACCUAUACUACACAAUUCAUAAUCAACAGAUAUAUCCAACAGUGUCUCAACGUCAAUCUCAUAUCCUCAUGUAAGAGCAAAUAGAUCAUAUAUCACAUGAAGAGGGGCAAAUGAGUAAAAUCCAUACACCACAGACAAAGAUGAAGUCAAAUGCAAUAAUGAUGUCAUGUAGUUGUAAUGCAUGUCUGUCCUAAGAUACACAUCUGUUGACACAAUCAGACCGCGCUGAAUACUCAAAUCAAAACCCAUGGGGCCCACACAUGGACCAUGUAUCACCGCCGGAACCAGAUCCCAUCGGCAUCCAAAUCGCUAGCCGGAGCUAGUCCAUCUCAUAUAUCUCUAGCCGGAGCUAGUCUCAACUGUGUCUCAUAUCCAUCCAUCCUCAUAUCAGUGUCUCAGAACUCAUGCAACAGAUAGUUCACACAUGGGAUGAAUAAUGAAUAUGCACAUGUCAUCAAUCACAAUCAUAUCACGAUCACAUCAUAAUAUUACACAUCAUUUGUCUGGGAUGAAUAAUGAAUAUGCACAUGUCAUCAAUCACAAUCAUAUUACGAUCACAUCAUAGUAUUACACAUCAUCUGUUUCAACAUCAAUGUCUGUAUCAAUCAUAGCCUACUCAUGCUCUUCUAUCCCCUCAAUAUCAGUUAUCACAUGACUUAUUCAACAAAUUCAAGUCACAUAUAACACAUUUAGCUCGUUUUAUUCCCCAUCUUUCAAUUACAACAAUUUCAAUCAACAAAUAAAACUCAUCCUCAAUCCCCAUUACUCCCCAACACAAUUAGGAAAGUAGUCAUGUGUAGUCUAAGAGUUUAACAAAGUUUAGAAGUCACUUGCCUCAAAACACUUCAACUAGUAACUCAAAUUUGAGUUUUACCCUUCCGAGCACGCUCCAAAUCACCACAAUCCAAUGAAUUCCUUGCGAAAACCCACUUGAAAUCACCUAUUUUCGAUCUCUCAAAGUCUAAAAAUGGAGAAAUGGGUAUUUUUCAAGUUAGGGGAAAAUGGCUACUGGUUUUGGCUUUAAAAAAGAAAGAAACAACUGAUGUUGCAGCUUUAAAAAACCACAGCAGCUGAAACAACAUAUAACACCAAAGUUUAAGUCCCCGUUUGACCCUCGGGAUUCGUUCGGAAUCUCGUGCACACAAACUGAAUAUGUACCCCCACUAAAUUCGACGUUCCGAACUCAAUGGAACCGUCGGAAUUUGAAUUCGAGGCUCCUUGACCCGAAAUUCAAUAAGAUGCCAAGAGACUAGUUUAACGCCAAAAAAAUUCGAAACUCAAACGGAGCGUCUAAAAAUUCAACCAAGACUCAUUCUAGACUUAGAAUCGCCUCCCGAAACCAACGGUACUCUCGGAAUUUCAAUCUGAGCCUCGGAACCUCAUAUGUUGACCAAAGUCAACUCUUUAUCGAAAUUUCACAACUUUAGCAACUUAGGACCUCAAUUCUUCGUUUCAACUCCAAAUUCAACUCCGUAACUUCACACAGACCUGUUUCGACAUUCUAAAACUGCCGGAAUCGACGGAAAUCCGAUCCGAGUCUCGAAACUCCAAUGAAUCGAAAAAACACUUUUUAACCAACUUUAACUCAUAAAAAACUCAACUUCUCAAAAACUCAACUUUUUACCAACUUUUCCUCAAACCAACUUUACAACCACAAAACAUGGGACUUGGGGCAACUACCGAAAGGGCAAAAUAGCCAUUUCCAUGAAAAAUCACCAAAAUGACCUUUCGGGUCAUUACAAUUUGGGUUGGUUUGGUUUCAACUACAAAAAACUAACCCAAGACCAAACCAACCCGACAUAAUAUUUAAAAUUUUAUUUUAUACAUAAAAAUAUUUACUUCGAUAUAAUUUUUAAAUAUAUCUUAUACUCUUUCAUAGUUUUUAUCUUUUAAUAUAUUAUUUCAAGUUUGAAACUUAGAAUUCUGAAUGGUCCAAUAAAUAUUAUAGUCCACAGAGGUUGAUAAUUAUAAUAAAGACUAAAUCAAAAUCAAAUUAAUAUUAAUGCAAAAAGAAAAUCAAUUCAACACCAAGAAUGAUAAUAAUAUUGAAUAUUUGUUCUUUAGUUUUACAUUGGUUUAGACAAUUAAAAUAUAUAAUAUAGUUUUAAUUUCCUUUAAUAUUUAGUCAUGUAACUAAUACUUAUUAAACUUAUUUUAGCAUGAUUAGUACUUUUAAAUUAUGAUCAUUUUCAUUAUGACUUGUUAAUUUGUAAUAUUUAUUUUACGCGAUUUUCAUUAUUAUUUUUUUUGUUGGAUAUUUUAGUGUCAUUAAUCAUAUCAUAUUUUGUGUUAUUUUCUUAAGAAACACCUUUGAUAGUUGUAUUUUGGUAGGACUAAAGAAAUAGUUGAAGUACAAGUAAAUUAUAUGUUUGUAUGAAUACUUUAUCGGAAAACCCCGAAAAAAUCCGAAAAUCCAAAAAACCCAAAAAAAUUUGAAAAAACCCAAGGUUGAAAAACCCGAGUUUUAUUGGUUUGGUUUGAUUUGGUUUAUAAAUUUAAAAAUCCGACACAAAUAAUUUGGUUUGAUAUUUGAAAAACCCGAACCAACCCAGCCAUAUACGCCCUUAACUGAAAUGUAGUGAUAGAAUCAAAUUUUGUUGAUUUGAUUUGAAACUAAAAACAAAUCAAAGAUGGAGAAAAAUACUGAUAAAAUAAUAUCAAAGAAUACUAAUACUAAUAAUGAAGAAGAAAAUAGCAAAGCCAAGGAAGUUGCUACUGAAAAUGAAAGUGCUUCCACUUUAUAUACUUUUGAAUUGUCUUGCUAUUACUUUCUAUGUCUUAUUUUAUAUAACAUCAUUUAAUUUGACAUGAUGUUUAAGAAGAAGAAAAAUAACUAUUCAAAAAAUGUGUGAUCUAAACCAAUUUUUAUAUAUUUGUAUGGUUCAUAAGAGUAAAAGAAAAUUUUAAAGAAAAGGUUGUCAUAUAAAAUGAAACUAAAACCUCACUAAAUUAAUAAUCUCUCUAAAAUAAUAUUUUUCUCCGGUCACAACUUAGGUCAAUGGAAAAAAAUCACCCAUUUCGAUAAGAUAAUAUAUUUUUAGAAGACCUCUAUAUAUAAAUAUAUGGUCCAAUUAAUAUUAUAAAUUAACAAUUCUUUAAAAGUACAAUUAUAUCUAAGACAAUUUAGUGAAAUAUAAUUAUAUUGUUUUCUAUUUUUGUUAAAAUUUAAAUUUAGUUGAAGCUCAUCUCUAACUUUUCUUAUUGUAUCCAAAAGUUUCAGUGUUGUCUUUUCAAAUUGCACCAUAAAUUUGUGAAGAGUUCUAUAUGUGAUAAGUGAUUCCUUACGCGUAACUGGUUGCAAAAGUACUGUAUCAUCUUCAACUUUAUCAUCAACAUAGUUUUUUCCAAUGGUAUCCACAAUUUAUCCUGAGCUCUGGACUUGUGAACAUGUGUCAUUUUCACCCAUCCAACAGAUUAUUAACGUUCAUUUUAUUGCGGUAACUGAGAUCAUUAAUCAUGACCUCAAGUUCAUGAAUGACAUUUUCACAAGUGGGUUCAUUCAAAUUCUCUGUGAUUUCAUCUCUGAUGAAUUUUGCGGUGUCGAAACAAUCUUUAAAUUAAUAAAUACUAAUUUAUCGAUUAAAUAAUACCUCUACGAAAUAAUAAUAUUUCAUGGUCCCACCUAUAUUAGUUUAGUGAAGUUUUAUUGUAUAUCCCAGGAAAUGACUAAUGCAAUUCUAGGAAAUUAAGGUGUAUUUUUUUAUAAACAUAAUUUUUUUUAUAAUUUGUGAAGACUAUCAAAACUCUUAUUGAUAUACAUUUUAAGGUGUCACGUUAAUAAAUCACAUAUCUUUUUUUUUAUUUAGAUAUAAAUAUUUACAAUUUUAUGAUAUACAAACUUUCAAACAAACAUAUUUUUUGAAAAAUAUCCACUACUCCACAAUAAUAGUAAUAAUCACUUAUUCUUUAAUAAAUUCGUUCAACAAUAUAGUACAUACAAUAGCUUCACGUCGAGCAUGAAGAUUUUUGCUGUCCAAAAUUAACUUAAAUGAGGGGUCUUUUUUUGUAAAAAAUAAGCUAACUGGUCAUUAACGUUUUUAAAAUAUUAAAAAUUGGAGUUUCAAAUUUUAUGGCCAAACACUCGUUUAGAGUAAAUUAUACUUAUUUACUACUCUCUCCAUUCCUUUUUAGUUAUCACAAUUUCCUUUUUUUAGAGUCAAAUGAUAUGAGUAUUAACUAACAUUUUAAAAUGUAUUUUCUUUUUACUUAUAUAUAAUAUUUUUUGUAUAAUUUUUGAAUAUCUAAAUUUUUAUUUUAAAAUAACAAAUUAUGUAAUUUAAUUUAAAUUUAAAAUUAAUCAAAUAAACUUUCGAAAAGUAUCGUAAAGUGUUCAUGAUGUAUCCCCUAAUAGCGUAUGAUAUUUAUGAAUGCAUUAUUACUGGUAUACUAUUGAUAUUCCCCAAUAGUACAAUUAAUUUAAUUGCAGAUUUCCAACGUAUUUUUGCGUUUAAAAUUGUUGAGUUCUCCAAUGUAAAACUAACAAUCAAAAUGUACAAAAGUAUAUCCAAGUAAGUGCCUAUAUAAUAACGAUUGAAUUCCCUUUUUUUUAUAAAAAAAAUAAAAAUAAAAUUGGUUAGCAAGAAAUGUUGAAUUCUACCAUCAUCAUCAUGGGUUCAUGUGAAAGCAUUCCGGUUGUUCGGGCAUUAUGAUUAUGAUUAUGCUGAUGAUUAUGAAUAUGAAUAUGAUUAUGAUGAUGAAGUGCGUUGGGGGAUAUAUCAUAUAUGAAUAUGUCGUUCCGUUGAAAGUAAGAUGGAAAAAUCAUAUUUUCAUAUAUCGACUUUUGUUUAUGAAUUGGUGUUAAAUUAUGUAAUGGUUAUUCCUACUAAUUAGCUUUUUAUUUAGCAAUCUUGUUCGUGAAUCUGUUUAGUGUCGUCAAAUUAUGACAUUUCAAGAUUUGAAGUUGAAAUUUUGUUUGAAAAAAUAAUUUGAAUGGAAAAGCUUGGCAAGAAAUGAAUUUAUUUCUUUUUCUUAUAUUCAUGCAUGUUUUUAAUUACUAGCUUGUGUUUUGUUAAAGAAUGACAAAAGUCCCACAUCGGUGGUUAAUGAGAUGGGUGGACUCCUUAUAAGGCUUGGGCAAUCCUCCUCCCUUUGAGCUAGCUUUUGGGGUGUGAGUUAGGCCUAAGACCUAAUUUAACAUGGUAUCAGAGAAGGGCCCGUCUCAUCCGAUGUUGGGGCCCCCAAAAUCAAAAUUGUCCACGCACCAGAUGCUAAGCACUGGGCGUGAGGUGGGGUGUUAAAGAAUGACAAAAGUCCCACAUCGGUGGUUAAUGAGAUGGGUGGACUCCUUAUAAGGCUUGGGCAAUCCUCCUCCCUUUGAGCUAGCUUUUGGAGUGUGAGUUAGGCCUAAGACCUAAUCUAACAUGUUUUACAUAAAUUUUCACCUUUUUUUUUUUUAUAUAUAUAAUUAUGUUGUUUCUAAAUAUUUUGUGGAUAUUACUAAGGUUACACUUAUUUUGGGACGGAUGGAGUAGCUGUAUUUUAAUCUCCAAAUAGACCAUUUUCAGUGAGUUUUUAAAAUAAAAAUAGGUGGAUUUUUAGUUCUUUUACUCAUAAAUGGUGUUACAAGAUCAGAAGAAGAAGUUUAUAAAGUUGUUUAAUUCAAGAGACAUGUCAAAUAUAUACAUAGUUUUAUUUGUUUGGUCAAAUAUAAGUACAAUUAUGCUUUAUACAUCUUAAAUCUUGUGGAAAGUGAUUUUAACAUAAGUUGGUGAAGUUGUGAACAUGUAACGUUGUAGAAUCAUCGAAAGACUAAUUUUUGCUUUGAUCAUUGCAAAGUUCAAACCUAAACAAGUUUGAGGUCCAUAGCCAAACGGCAAAAAUGCUACUGGAUUGUUGUUUGUAGCUUUAACAACCCCUUCAGCAAAUCUAUCCGGUUUGAAAACAUGAACAUGUUCUCCCCAUAUUUUAUGAUCAUGUUGAACUGCUAAUGGUGAUAUGUAUAUCAGCAUUUUAGGUGGUAAAGUUAGCUCAACUUUCCUUUUGAUGAAUGGUACUGGAGGGUACAAUCUUAGAGAUUCAUCAAGAAUCAUGUUCAUCUACAUUGAUCAAAAUAUGUUGAAAAGUGUUAUGUAAUAAAAUAAAAGUAUUGACAUUGAUAAUAAACAAAUGCUAACAAUUUUCAGUCUUGAUAGGUAUGAGCAAUGACUAAUGUUGCAUUCUACAUUGAUCAAAGAUUAUUGAAAACUGUUACGUAAUUGAAUAGAAGUAUCGAAACUGAUAAUAAACGAUUGAUAGAUCCUUAAUGCUUACAAUUUUCAGACUUGAUAGGCCAUCUGCAUUAGGAACUUUCUGGCCAAAUGAUUCAGCAACUUCUUUUCUUGCUUUUUCUUGCCACUCCUUGUUUGUAGCUAGCAAGAAGAUUGUCCAUCCGAGCAAAGAAGACGUUGUCUCCUGACCAGCAUAAUAAAAGUUCUUGCACUCAUCAAUUAUAUCGUCUAUUGAUAUUCCGUUAUUCUUGAUAAGCUUCUAGCUAGGAGUUUUCCAAGGAAAUCACUUC